GAGUAGGUGAGUCAGGGUUGUGAUUGUAUCGAAGUAUGAAAAGGUGAUCGAAAGAUUGCUUUGGAAUACGGCACAACGCGAAUACUCAACCUAUGGCGAGGUGUUGCGAGACACACUCGUUAUAGGGUCAAGCGAACAAGUGCAUGUGGUGGAUGCCUUGGCGAUCACAGGCGAUGAAGGACGCGGUAGCCUGCGAAAAGCUUCGGGGAGCUGGCAAACGAGCUUUGAUCCGAAGAUGUCCGAAUGGGGAAACCCACUCCUUAUGGAGUAUCCGUGACUGAAUCCAUAGGUCACGAGAAGCGAACGCGGUGAACUGAAACAUCUAAGUAACCGCAGGAAAAGAAAUCAACCGAGAUUCCCAGAGUAGUGGCGAGCGAAAUGGGAUCAGCCUGUACUCUUUAUCUUUGUUGUUAGUCGAACGCUCUGGAAAGUGCGGCCAUAGCAGGUGAUAGCCCUGUAGACGAAAACAGCGAGGAAGAACUAGGUGUACGACAAGUAGGGCGGGACACGUGAAAUCCUGUCUGAAGAUGGGGGGACCAUCCUCCAAGGCUAAAUACUCGUGAUCGACCGAUAGUGAACCAGUACCGUGAGGGAAAGGCGAAAAGAACCCCGGGAGGGGAGUGAAAUAGAUCCUGAAACCGCAUGCAUACAAACAGUCGGAGCCUCGUAAGGGGUGACGGCGUACCUUUUGUAUAAUGGGUCAGCGACUUACGUUCAGUAGCAAGCUUAACUGAUUAAGGCAGGCGUAGCGAAAGCGAGUCCGAAUAGGGCGUUCAGUUGCUGGGCGUAGACCCGAAACCAAGUGAUCUAUCCAUGGCCAGGUUGAAGGUGCGGUAACACGUACUGGAGGACCGAACCCACUAACGUUGAAAAGUUAGGGGAUGAGCUGUGGAUAGGGGUGAAAGGCUAAACAAACUUGGAAAUAGCUGGUUCUCUCCGAAAACUAUUUAGGUAGUGCCUCGUGUAUCACCUUCGGGGGUAGAGCACUGUCAUGGUUGUGGGGUCCAUUGCGGAUUACUACGCCAUAGCAAACUCCGAAUACCGAAGAGUGCAAUCACGGGAGACAGACAUCGGGUGCUAACGUCCGGUGUCAAGAGGGAAACAACCCAGACCGCCAGCUAAGGUCCCAAAGAUUGGCUAAGUGGGAAACGAAGUGGGAAGGCUAAAACAGUCAGGAGGUUGGCUUAGAAGCAGCCAUCCUUUAAAGAAAGCGUAAUAGCUCACUGAUCGAGUCGUCCUGCGCGGAAGAUGUAACGGGGCUCAAGCCAGUCACCGAAGCUGCGGAUGCAUAUUUAUAUGCAUGGUAGGAGAGCGUUCCGUAAGCCUGCGAAGGUGCAUUGAAAAGUGCGCUGGAGGUAUCGGAAGUGCGAAUGCUGACAUGAGUAGCGAUAAAGGGGGUGAAAAGCCCCCUCGCCGUAAGCCCAAGGUUUCCUACGCAACGUUCAUCGGCGUAGGGUGAGUCGGCCCCUAAGGCGAGGCAGAAAUGCGUAGCUGAUGGGAAGCAGGUUAAUAUUCCUGCACCAUUGUUAGAUGCGAUGGGGGGACGGAUCGCGGAAGGUUGUCCGGGUGUUGGAAGUCCCGGUCCUUGCAUUGGAGAAGGCGCUUAGGCAAAUCCGGGCGCGGAAUUCAAGGGUGUGAGGCGAGCGACUUAGGUCGCGAAGCAAUCGGAAGUGGUUCCAAGAAAAGCCUCUAAGCUUCAGUCUAACAAGACCGUACCGCAAACCGACACAGGUGGGCGAGAUGAGUAUUCUAAGGCGCUUGAGAGAACUCGGGAGAAGGAACUCGGCAAAUUGGUACCGUAACUUCGGGAUAAGGUACGCCCUUGUAGCUUGACUGGCCUGCGCCAGAAGGGUGAGAGGGUUGCAAUAAACUGGUGGCUGCGACUGUUUAAUAAAAACACAGCACUCUGCAAACACGAAAGUGGACGUAUAGGGUGUGACGCCUGCCCGGUGCCGGAAGAUUAAAUGAUGGGGUGCAAGCUCUUGAUUGAAGUCCCGGUAAACGGCGGCCGUAACUAUAACGGUCCUAAGGUAGCGAAAUUCCUUGUCGGGUAAGUUCCGACCUGCACGAAUGGCGUAACGAUGGCCACACUGUCUCCUCCCGAGACUCAGCGAAGUUGAAGUGUUUGUGAUGAUGCAAUCUCCCCGCGGCUAGACGGAAAGACCCCAUGAACCUUUACUGUAGCUUUGCAUUGGACUUUGAACCGAUCUGUGUAGGAUAGGUGGGAGGCUAUGAAACCGGAACGCUAGUUUCGGUGGAGCCGUCCUUGAAAUACCACCCUGGUUUGUUUGAGGUUCUAACCUUGGCCCGUGAUCCGGGUCGGGGACAGUGCAUGGUAGGCAGUUUGACUGGGGCGGUCUCCU
This 2363-nucleotide ribosomal RNA is filed under the name Burkholderia sp. yr520. Its description in RNAcentral is "bacterial LSU rRNA". It matches the Rfam family "Bacterial large subunit ribosomal RNA", at positions 1 to 2288 of the family's 2925-position model. The record is from RNAcentral. Lineage: Bacteria; Pseudomonadati; Pseudomonadota; Betaproteobacteria; Burkholderiales; Burkholderiaceae.